GGAGUUGUGGCAAAAUGGUUAACGAAUCUGACUGGGAAUCAUGAGGUUGUGGGUUCGAUCCCUACCCUUUCUC
Molecule: transfer RNA, 73 nt
Filed under: Sus scrofa (pig)
Lineage: Eukaryota; Metazoa; Chordata; Mammalia; Artiodactyla; Suidae
Rfam family: tRNA
About the family: Transfer RNA (tRNA) molecules are approximately 80 nucleotides in length. Their secondary structure includes four short double-helical elements and three loops (D, anti-codon, and T loops). Further hydrogen bonds mediate the characteristic L-shaped molecular structure. tRNAs have two regions of fundamental functional importance: the anti-codon, which is responsible for specific mRNA codon recognition, and the 3' end, to which the tRNAs corresponding amino acid is attached (by aminoacyl-tRNA synthetases). tRNAs cope with the degeneracy of the genetic code in two manners: having more than one tRNA (with a specific anti-codon) for a particular amino acid; and 'wobble' base-pairing, i.e. permitting non-standard base-pairing at the 3rd anti-codon position.
Source: Rfam by way of RNAcentral